GUCAUUACACCACUCAAGCCUCGCUUGGUAUUGGGCGCCGCGCCCGCCGCGCGCCUCGAAUGCAUCCGGCUGGGCUCGCCGUCCCCUAGCGUCGUGGCAUCUAAUUGUUUCGCUUACGGGAUCGUCGGGCUCGCGCCGUACAAAAAACACCUUUCUACAUGGUUGACCUCGGAUCAGGUAGGGAUACCCGCUGAACUUAA
Molecule: unclassified non-coding RNA, 200 nt
Filed under: soil metagenome
Description: partial contains internal transcribed spacer 2 and large subunit ribosomal RNA
Source: RNAcentral